UCGAGCGGUAGAGAGAAGCUUGCUUCUCUUGAGAGCGGCGGACGGGUGAGUAAUGCCUAGGAAUCUGCCUGGUAGUGGGGGAUAACGUUCGGAAACGAACGCUAAUACCGCAUACGUCCUACGGGAGAAAGCAGGGGACCUUCGGGCCUUGCGCUAUCAGAUGAGCCUAGGUCGGAUUAGCUAGUUGGUGGGGUAAUGGCUCACCAAGGCGACGAUCCGUAACUGGUCUGAGAGGAUGAUCAGUCACACUGGAACUGAGACACGGUCCAGACUCCUACGGGAGGCAGCAGUGGGGAAUAUUGGACAAUGGGCGAAAGCCUGAUCCAGCCAUGCCGCGUGUGUGAAGAAGGUCUUCGGAUUGUAAAGCACUUUAAGUUGGGAGGAAGGGCCAUUACCUAAUACGUGAUGGUUUUGACGUUACCGACAGAAUAAGCACCGGCUAACUCUGUGCCAGCAGCCGCGGUAAUACAGAGGGUGCAAGCGUUAAUCGGAAUUACUGGGCGUAAAGCGCGCGUAGGUGGUUUGUUAAGUUGGAUGUGAAAUCCCCGGGCUCAACCUGGGAACUGCAUUCAAAACUGACUGACUAGAGUAUGGUAGAGGGUGGUGGAAUUUCCUGUGUAGCGGUGAAAUGCGUAGAUAUAGGAAGGAACACCAGUGGCGAAGGCGACCACCUGGACUGAUACUGACACUGA
RNAcentral lists this ribosomal RNA (692 nucleotides) under Pseudomonas rhodesiae. Its description in RNAcentral is "bacterial SSU rRNA". It matches the Rfam family "Bacterial small subunit ribosomal RNA", at positions 62 to 749 of the family's 1533-position model. Lineage: Bacteria; Pseudomonadati; Pseudomonadota; Gammaproteobacteria; Pseudomonadales; Pseudomonadaceae. The record is from RNAcentral.